UGACCCUACGGGACGCAGCAGUCGGGAAUAUUGCGCAAUGGAGGAAACUCUGACGCAGUGACGCCGCGUAUAGGAAGAAGGUUUUCGGAUUGUAAACUAUUGUCGUUAGGGAAGAAAAAAGACUGUACCUAUCAAGAAAGCUCCGGCUAACUACGUGCCAGCAGCCGCGGUAAUACGUAGGGAGCAAGCGUUAUCCGGAAUUAUUGGGUGUAAAGGGUGCGUAGAUGGGAUGUCAAGUUAGUUGUGAAAUACCUCGGCUCAACUGUGGAACUGCAACUAAACCUAACAUUAU
RNAcentral lists this ribosomal RNA (292 nucleotides) under uncultured bacterium. RNAcentral's name for it is "partial 16S ribosomal RNA". It matches the Rfam family "Bacterial small subunit ribosomal RNA", at positions 334 to 642 of the family's 1533-position model. The record is from RNAcentral.